CGACCGGCGCACGGGUGAGUAACACGUAUCCAACCUGCCGUCUACUCUUGGCCAGCCUUCUGAAAGGAAGAUUAAUCCAGGAUGGGAUCACGAGUUCACAUGUCCGCAUGAUUAAAGGUAUUUUCCGGUAGACGAUGGGGAUGCGUUCCAUUAGAUAGUAGGCGGGGUAACGGCCCACCUAGUCAACGAUGGAUAGGGGUUCUGAGAGGAAGGUCCCCCACAUUGGAACUGAGACACGGUCCAA
RNAcentral lists this ribosomal RNA (244 nucleotides) under uncultured bacterium. RNAcentral's name for it is "partial 16S ribosomal RNA". It matches the Rfam family "Bacterial small subunit ribosomal RNA", at positions 92 to 334 of the family's 1533-position model. The record is from RNAcentral.